RNAcentral lists this unclassified non-coding RNA (457 nucleotides) under Hevea brasiliensis (rubber tree). Lineage: Eukaryota; Viridiplantae; Streptophyta; Magnoliopsida; Malpighiales; Euphorbiaceae. The record is from RNAcentral.
AAUGGACCGAGAUCGCCGCCGCGCUUGGCUGAGCUGCAAUCGGAGAAGCGAGAGGCGAUGUCCUCGAACUUAGCCUUGCCAGAAACGAUGUCGUCACGGAAGAGUUGAAGCUGAGAGACAGCGGAGUCUCUGGUGGUGUUCUUGAUGACGCGACCUUCAGGAUCCUUCCAGGAUGCCUUCCUUCGAGAGCCUUCAUGCUUUAUGAGUAUGUGAGAUGCCCUGACCUGAUUGGCCGACGCCAUUUUCGUCUUCUUCUUGCUCUUUUCUCUUUCUUUUCCUCUUUCUUUAGAUCGAUCCGCAGAUGAGAUCGAAUCUUUCUUUCUCUUCCUAUCAGACUCUAUUUUCACCGAUCUACGUAUACUUUGGUGCUCUGCUUGGGAGUCUAACUUGGAGUGCUUUUGGCUUUUGUUUUUUCCUCCACCAAAAAGAGGCAGCCGUGAACUAUGGUGCUCUACAC